Small nuclear RNA from Leptonychotes weddellii (Weddell seal), 108 nucleotides. The record is from RefSeq and is a predicted model, not a curated record. NCBI's taxonomy places the organism in Eukaryota, Metazoa, Chordata, Mammalia, Carnivora, Phocidae.
GUGCUCGCUUCGGCAGCACAUACACUAAAACUGGAAUGACACAGAGAAGAUUAACGUGGCACCUGUGCAAAGGGUGACAGGUAAAUGUUUGGUGGAUUCACCUGUGAG